AGAAAAAUACACAGUACACAAAGUGCUAUAAAUAACAAAGAAAUAAAGAACAAAAUAAACAAAAAAACAGGAUACUUAAUGUUAUAUAUUAUAGCUCCGAGUUUCCUCAGUGUCCUUCCUUCGAUCAAGCUCAGUGUGAAAU
Molecule: long non-coding RNA, 142 nt
Organism: Protopterus annectens (West African lungfish)
Lineage: Eukaryota; Metazoa; Chordata; Ceratodontiformes; Protopteridae
Exons: 2
Source: RefSeq, a predicted model, not a curated record